This 335-nucleotide unclassified non-coding RNA is filed under the name soil metagenome. RNAcentral describes it as "partial contains 5.8S ribosomal RNA, internal transcribed spacer 2, and large subunit ribosomal RNA". The stretch from base 1 to 120 matches the Rfam family "5.8S ribosomal RNA", at positions 35 to 154 of the family's 154-position model. The record is from RNAcentral.
GAUGAAGAACGCAGCGAAAUGCGAUAAGUAAUGUGAAUUGCAGAAUUCAGUGAAUCAUCGAAUCUUUGAACGCACAUUGCGCCCGCCAGUAUUCUGGCGGGCAUGCCUGUUCGAGCGUCAUUUCAACCAUCAAGCCCCCGGCUUGUGUUGGGGACCUGCGGCUGCCGCAGGCCCUGAAAAGCAGUGGCGGGCUCGCUGUCACACCGAGCGUAGUAGCAUACAUCUCGCUCUGGGCGUGCUGCGGGUUCCGGCCGUUAAACCACCUUCAUAACCCAAGGUUGACCUCGGAUCAGGUAGGAAGACCCGCUGAACUUAAGCAUAUCAAUAAGCGAGGA